GACGAACGCUGGCGGCGUGCCUAAUACAUGCAAGUAGAACGCUGAAGGAGGAGCUUGCUUCUCCGGAUGAGUUGCGAACGGGUGAGUAACGCGUAGGUAACCUGCCUGGUAGCGGGGGAUAACUAUUGGAAACGAUAGCUAAUACCGCAUAACAGUAGAUGUUGCAUGACAUUUGCUUAAAAGGUGCAAUUGCAUCACUACCAGAUGGACCUGCGUUGUAUUAGCUAGUUGGUGAGGUAACGGCUCACCAAGGCGACGAUACAUAGCCGACCUGGGAGGGGGAGCGGCCACACUGGGACUGAGACACGGCCCAGACUCCUACGGGAGGCAGCAGUAGGGAAUCUUCGGCAAUGGACGGAAGUCUGACCGAGCAACGCCGCGUGAGUGAAGAAGGUUUUCGGAUCGUAAAGCUCUGUUGUAAGAGAAGAACGAGUGUGAGAGUGGAAAGUUCACACUGUGACGGUAGCUUACCAGAAAGGGACGGCUAACUACGUG
RNAcentral lists this ribosomal RNA (495 nucleotides) under uncultured bacterium. RNAcentral's name for it is "partial 16S ribosomal RNA". It matches the Rfam family "Bacterial small subunit ribosomal RNA", at positions 28 to 507 of the family's 1533-position model. The record is from RNAcentral.